Molecule: unclassified non-coding RNA, 352 nt
Filed under: soil metagenome
Description: partial contains 5.8S ribosomal RNA, internal transcribed spacer 2, and large subunit ribosomal RNA
Rfam family: 5.8S ribosomal RNA (bases 1-120)
Source: RNAcentral
GAUGAAGAACGUAGCGAAAUGCGAUAAGUAUUGUGAAUUGCAGAAUCCAGUGAAUCAUCGAAUCUUUGAACGCACAUUGCGCCCGCCAGUAUUCUGGCGGGCAUGCCUGUUCGAGCGUCAUUACAACCCUCAGGCCCCCGGGCCUGGCGUUGGGGAUCGGCGGAGCCCCCCGUGGGCACACGCCGUCCCCCAAAUGCAGUGGCGGUCCCGCCGCAGCUUCCAUCGCGUAGUAGCUAACACCUCGCGACUGGAGAGCGGCGCGGCCACGCCGUAAAACACCCAACUCUUCUGAAGUUGACCUCGAAUCAGGUAGGAAUACCCGCUGAACUUAAGCAUAUCAAUAAGCGGAGGA